GGGUUGUGAGGUUAAGCGACUAAGCGUACACGGUGGAUGCCCUGGCAGUCAGAGGCGAUGAAGGACGUGCUAAUCUGCGAUAAGCGCCGGUAAGGUGAUAUGAACCGUUAUAACCGGCGGUUUCCGAAUGGGGAAACCCAGUGUGACUCGUCACACUAUCAUUAACUGAAUCCAUAGGUUAAUGAGGCGAACCGGGGGAACUGAAACAUCUAAGUACCCCGAGGAAAAG
Molecule: ribosomal RNA, 229 nt
Filed under: Salmonella enterica subsp. enterica serovar Kentucky
Lineage: Bacteria; Pseudomonadati; Pseudomonadota; Gammaproteobacteria; Enterobacterales; Enterobacteriaceae
Description: partial 23S ribosomal RNA
Rfam family: Bacterial large subunit ribosomal RNA
Source: RNAcentral